CCCAGACUCCUACGGGAGGCAGCAGUGGGGGAUAUUGCACAAUGGGGGAAACCCUGAUGCAGCGACGCCGCGUGGGUGAAGAAGUAUUUCGGUAUGUAAAGCCCUCUCAGCAGGGAAGAAAGAAGACGGUACCUGACUAAGAAGCCCCGGCUAACUACGUGCCAGCAGCCGCGGUAAUACGUAGGGGGCGAGCGUUAUCCGGAUUCACUGGGUGUAAAGGGAGCGUAGACGGCCGUGCAAGCCAGGAGUGAAAGCCCGGGGCCCAACCCCGGGACUGCUCUUGGAACUGUGCGGCUGGAGUGCGGGAGGGGCAGGCGGAAUUCCUGGUGUAGCGGUGAAAUGCGUAGAUAUCAGGAGGAACACCGGCGGCGAAGGCGGCCUGCUGGACCGCGACUGACGUUGAGGCUCGAAAGCGUGGGGAGCAAACAGGAUUAGAUACCCGUGUA
This 446-nucleotide ribosomal RNA is filed under the name uncultured bacterium. Its description in RNAcentral is "bacterial SSU rRNA". It matches the Rfam family "Bacterial small subunit ribosomal RNA", at positions 330 to 792 of the family's 1533-position model. The record is from RNAcentral.